GACGAACGCUGGCGGCGUGCUUAACACAUGCAAGUCGAACGGAAAGGCCCUGCUUUUGUGGGUUGCUCGAGUGGCGAACGGGUGAGUAACACGUGAGUAACCUGCCCUUGACUUUGGGAUAACUUCAGGAAACUGGGGCUAAUACCGGAUAGGAGCUCCUGCUGCAUGGUGGGGGUUGGAAAGUUUCGGCGGUUGGGGCUGGACUCGCGGCUUAUCAGCUUGUUGGUGGGGUAGUGGCUUACCAAGGCUUUGACGGGUAGCCGGCCUGAGAGGGUGACCGGCCACAUUGGGACUGAGAUACGGCCCAGACUCCUACGGGAGGCAGCAGUGGGGAAUAUUGCACAAUGGGCGGAAGCCUGAUGCAGCAACGCCGCGUGCGGGAUGACGGCCUUCGGGUUGUAAACCGCUUUCGCCUGUGACGAAGCGUGCGUGACGGUAAUGGGUAAAGAAGCCCCGGCUAACUACGUG
RNAcentral lists this ribosomal RNA (468 nucleotides) under uncultured bacterium. Its description in RNAcentral is "partial 16S ribosomal RNA". It matches the Rfam family "Bacterial small subunit ribosomal RNA", at positions 28 to 507 of the family's 1533-position model. The record is from RNAcentral.